CAGCCUGGGGUGCACGGAGGAAGCUCAGGGGCUGUUCGGUCCGCUUCCAGAACCAGUCUCCAGCCCUGGGUAUGGUCUGUAGGGGCCCAUCCUGGAGCAUUAAAGUAAGGAUCUUCUACUUGAAACAGAUCUGAGUUUCAGAGUGAAACUUUCGGUUAACUUGAGCUUGCUCCUGAGCCCCCAUGACCUAGUAAAGGUAGAAUAUCCCAAGCAGUGGGAAUCCAUUGUGGAAGACACUCAUCCGACAUGAGACCUUUGACCAGGGCUUCAUGGCAGAGCCUGGACACUGACGUGAUGGUGCAGGUCUUGGAGCUGUUGGCCUUGGAGUAAUUCCUGUCCCUUCCACCUGGAGAAACAGAACAGAAUGAAAACAGCAAGAAGGAGGUAACCAUGGAGGAUUUGAUCCAGAUGCUUGAAGAGAAAGCUCUACAUUUGCAGGAUUCUGCCCUUUCUCAUCUGGGAGACACAGAGGAGAAGGACUCUGGGAUCCUGAUGACCAGGUCUCAGGUGAGUUGAAGUUUCUUCUGUCUCUCCUGAAAAACCAUCUUGGGUCUCACUGAGUAGAAACAUUUCCUUCC
This 578-nucleotide long non-coding RNA is filed under the name Vombatus ursinus (common wombat). RNAcentral's name for it is "lncRNA (ENSVURG00010019525.1)". The record is from RNAcentral. Lineage: Eukaryota; Metazoa; Chordata; Mammalia; Diprotodontia; Vombatidae.